GUUUUUAGGCUAUACAGUGUUUGUUUACAAUUACUUUAUUUACAAAACAUUGUCAUAAAACAUUAUAUUUUGGGUUCUGAUGGGAUACACAUGUUGAACUAAGCUUACGAUCCAUUUAUAAGUUAUAUUCUUCAAGAAUAAAUGGGUACAUAUUGUAAAUGUAUAAGUCCAAAAAUGGAUGUAGCAACUGCUGAUUGCCCCUUUAAGUAAAUACACAACAGUAGUGUCUUUGGUCAUAAUGUGAAUAGGGGCUCUAUUCAAUCAGAUCUGCUUUUGCCGACAUCCACAUAGCAGUUGCUUUGACGGUGUCUGUGGUGGAACUGUGUUAGAGCUGUCAAAUACACAACAGGCUUUCUGCAUUAUCAACUAAAGCAGACAUUGCCAUUGGCUGCACAGAGUCACAUUGACAUAAAUCCCAUGCAGCCUUGUUUACAAAUUCUAACACUGUAAUGUGAGAUGUAAUCUACACCUCUGUUAAGAACACUGGAAUGUGAGAUGUAAUCUACACCUCUGUUAAGAACACUGGAAUGUGAGAUGUAAUCUACACCUCCAUUAAGAACACUGUAAUGUGAGAUGUAAUCUAUACCUCCAGUAGGAUGAUAGAAAACCUCAUUAUUUAUUUGAAUGAUUUUUUAAUUUUAGUGUAAUUAUUUCUAUAUAGUCUACACAAGGGUUCCCUAACUGGCAGCCUCAGAAUUUGGCCCCCAGGUGUUUUUAUUUGGCCCCCCAAGUUUUUUAGCAAAAAAAAAAGAAACAAAUAUGUAUUUGUAUUUUUUUUAUUGUUGGACAUAAAACACUAGGAAAUCAUCUCAAAUUGAUUUUAAUUUAAGAAAUCUGUUCCCAAGUAUUCCAUGGAUAAUAGAAAGACACCUGAUCAUUUAACAUAAGCAAGGUUUGAAAUGAUGAUGUUUUAGUAAAACAGUAUAUCUGUUUGGGCUUCUUGCAGUCAAUUUGAAGUCUACAAAUUGUGACUGAAUCUAGUUGAUGAUCCCUGGCCUACACUUUCUCGUUCUGAACUUCUGACGCGAGUGGGGUCGGGUGUGUGGCUUUGUGACAAUGAUCGCAAGAGCAGCUACUCAGCGAUUUGAUUUGAUGGGUCCAAUGCAGUUCCACUACCUCUGACACCAACAAAACUGCUAUGCGGGUGUCUGCUAUCUCUGGUUAACAGCUGAUCUCAUUGAAUCUAGGUCUAGAUUAUGGGAACAUUACAACAAUUGUUUCAAAAUAUGAGUCAUAAAAAUUUUAAAAAUUAAGAUAAGAGUUUUAAGAGACGAUUCUGUGCAAUUGAUUCAGCGAGACAUUUUCUGAUAACAUAUAAGGCAUGAUACCAACUAACUUUUAAUUUAAUUUAAUAGUCCCUGCCCUGUCUAUGUUUUGUUUUUUUCAUUCAGUAUUGCAGGAUCGCCGUUUACUGGUUACUUUAGUGCAUUACUGUAGGUCUGCUUCCCGUUGUGCUUUAGGUGGGAUGCCAUUUUACAAAAAUGGGACCCCGCAAAAAACAUGUUUUAAAAUACGGCAAUUUGACUAAUUAAGAAAUACUUUGAGCAAUAAAAAUGCAAUUGUGUGUACUUUAUGUUUGUAUUCUUAUCUUUUAGUAUUUCUUAUUAUUGUUGCAUUUUGAAAAGGAACCUUCAAGGAAGCAUUUCGUUGGAAGUGUAUACCAUGUGUAUACCAUGUGCAUACCCCUUUAUAUAGGACUAAUACAACUUCAAACUAAUGUGUAUUUUUGGGUUAUUUUUUACCAAAAUGCAUGAAAAUAGAACUGAAAUAGAACCGUGGUGGAUAGGUUUCCUCAAGCGGGAGAUAAACUAAACUGCGCAGAAUAGUAUUAGUAGUUUGCCUAAUUUCCAUAUUUACACAUAUCAUGCUAUACCUCCCUGCCCAAUCCUCACAUCCCUUUCCCUCCCUUUCUCCUCCCUCCCCUUUCCCUUCAUCCUCCCCUUUCACCCCCCCCCCUCCCCUCACACACCACUAAACCACAGAUGACAUAACAGUUUCCUAGAUGAGAGCACUCUAGUCUCCUCUCUUUUAUGCAUGACAUUUCAUUAUAGGUAAUUGAUCAUGUCAAACCAGUGUGUUUAGUACUGGGCAGGAACUAAAACCUGCAAACCUCAUACUUGUGCUCUGCUCACUCAGAAGUACAGUAUACGGUACUGCACUGUUGACACCCGUGGAGGCUGGGUGGGAGAAGCUAUAGGAGGACUGUCUCAUUGUAAUGGUUGGAAUGGAAUUCAUUUAGCUCAAUUGGUAGAGCAUGCCGCAAGCGCCAGGGCUGUGGGUUUGAUUCCCAUGGUGGACCAGAAUGAAAAAAAGUGUUAAAAUGUAUGCACUCACUACUGUAAAUCGCUCUUAGUCUGCUAAAUGACACAAAUGUCAAAUGUAAGCAUAUGGAAACUAUCUUCCACUCCAUCCAUUCCAAUGAGCCCGUCUUUCUAUACCUCCUCCCACCAGCCUCCAUUGGUAGAUUGAUAUAUAUUCCCAGGCACCAUAUCUCUAUAAACAGGUUUAUAGUGGGAUUACAAUCUGGCCCCUCCUGUACAUGAUGUUCUAGGAGCAGACAGACUGGUCGGGACAGGAAUAGAGCAGUAGAUAAUCCCAAUCCCAGUUGCAUUCUGGGUCCCCAUCUGAUGCAUCUGCUCUGUCUGCCAUCAGAGGGCGUUGGAGUCUAAUUAAAACUGGUUUGGUGAGACUAAAGGGACUUUUUGGCACGCAAACCGACUAGCCAAAAUUUGAAACUGAUCCUUGCUAUAACCCUAGCCUUAACCAAACCCUUAACCCUGAGUCUAACCUAAUUAGAACCUAUUCUAAAAAUAUAGAUUGGUUUGCAUGUUAGAAAAGUCCCUUUUAAUCUCUACCGAUUAAAACCUGUGACAUGUGGAGUGGGGACAGCACAUGAGAAAAGGGUGGAAUAAAUGACCUCUACUAGCCACCGAUACAAAUUGUUUUCAUAGUUGAUAAGGCUAUUAGGUUUACCUCUGUGUAUCUCAUUUGAAUGACAUUCAGAAUACCAAAAAUACAGUAUUUGUGAUCUAGCAGAUACGCUUAUUGUAACUGUGUGCUGUCUUUGCAUCAUUGAACUAUAUAACCAUACUGUAGACCUACAUAUUGUCUGUCACAUACGGAGCAUGAAAGUGCAUUAUUGUGGGUUAACUGACCAGUAGUGACAAUUUUCACAAUUUUGUAUUGCAAGCCAUGCUAACAAGUUACAGUACACAAUUAUACACAAAUACAAUAAACACUGGUAAACAAACAAAAUAUUAUAUCGUCUUGAAGUGGUUAUAAUACAGGCGUGUUGAAAAAUGAUGAUGGAAAGAAUUAUUCCAUACAGGAAUGUUUGUGCGUCAUCAGAGUGUAUGUUUGUACAUCAGAGAAGUCCUACAGGUGAUAUUUUGAUGAAUUGUCUCUCACAUACAAAGUGUCUCAGUGAGCACAUGCUAUACAUAACAGUCCCUUCUAGGCCCCAAGUAUAUACUCACAAGUGAUUUCACAGAUGUGUUAUACACAUGUUACAGUAACGUAUCACUUUAUAUGGGGAUUUUCACACCUGCAGCGACCCGUCACUGACACAUUAUAUUUUUUGUAAUUGUUGUUUUUUUGCACUGCAUUGUUGGGGAAAUGGCUCGUAAGUAAACCUACACCUGUUGUAUUCAGUGCAUGUGACAAAUACAAUUUGAUUUGACCUAUUCAGGUUCAAAAUUCUGGGAGAGUUUUUCUGGAAGAGUCCGAGGUUUACAAUUUAAGAACAUCAACAUAGCACAACAUGCAAGAACAAACAAAAAAAGCAAAGCUUGUGUUUCAGUAAGUCAGCAGACGGACAGAGUGCGAAUGCAGGGAGCAUGACGAUCAAGAGAGACUGUUUCGUCAGGACACGAAGAGAGGAAGAUGAGAAGGAGGAAAUCAGAAGGAGAAGAAAAGCAGGAAGAGGCUUUGAGCAAAGCGUUUAUGGGACACCAAGCGAGUAGACUCACUGGACAGAUCCGAUCUGUGGUUUACUGAGUAACACUGAUAGUUCUAAUAAUAGUCCUACCGUCCGGCAAGAUGCUUCAUAUUUAAAACAAGCUGCAGUAAUCUCUACACAGCACAUCCUUUCACUUCCCCUCCCCCGUCACACACACACACACACACACACACACACAUACACAUACACACACACAGGGGUAUGCAGACGCAGGCGCACGCACACACGGUUGCUUGGGCAAUGUAUGACCAGACACUUGUAAGCUCCCUUUUCUGAAUAUUCACCAAUAACCUGCAGACGCAAACCUGUCACUGGAUCCUCUUCCGCCCUGCUGUUCCCUCUUUGUUGACCAUGGGGCGAUAGUAAGGAUCCAAGGCUCAUAAUGGACACAGAAUCAGUCUGAAAGACCGGGAGCCAUAAAAGCAAAAAAGUUGGAUGUCCACACAAUAGUCAAUUGGUGGUCCUCAUUGGUCAGCCCCAAGUUCCAUUUAUUCAAAAUGGAGUCAAAAUAUGCCUUUGCUGUAGCUCCCAUGAUGCCUCUUUCUGGCUAGGGUCAAAGGUCAGUGGUGGUGCAUCAGGAAGUCUGAUUGGUCAGUGGUGGUGCAUCAGGAAGUCUGAUUGGUCAGUGGUGGUGCAUCAUGACGUUGUCGUCGUCCGCCGUAGUAACCAUAGCCACCGUUCUGACAGUGGAGAUCUUCUUCACGGCCUUCUGGAGGAGCAGCUUGAAGUCCUUGAUCUCCUGGACAGACCUGGAACACACAAAAUACAAGAAAGAAAGAGAGAGAGAGA
This is a long non-coding RNA of Oncorhynchus tshawytscha (Chinook salmon), 4747 nucleotides long. The record is from Ensembl. NCBI's taxonomy places the organism in Eukaryota, Metazoa, Chordata, Actinopteri, Salmoniformes, Salmonidae.